This is an RNA transcript of Quercus robur (English oak), 4530 nucleotides long. RefSeq lists it as uncharacterized. The transcript is spliced from 4 exons. The record is from RefSeq and is a predicted model, not a curated record. Lineage: Eukaryota; Viridiplantae; Streptophyta; Magnoliopsida; Fagales; Fagaceae.
AAAGUUCCAUUAUUUAUCACGCGUUUCUAUCUCUCUUUCAUCAUCCAUAUUUCCGCACUGUCUCUCUCUCUCCCUCCCAAUCUAUUCUCUUUCUCUCUCUAAUUUUUGGUUGUCUUCUGGGAUUGAUCUGAUGAAGAAGAUGGAAGGGGUUGUUGCUAUGGAGUCUUCUCCAUAUGCUGUGUGUGAGGACCCGAGAACUAGGUUGAGGCAUCAGAAUCUCUUUACUGGACAUUGAAGAGCUACAGAAGAAUUGAGGGAGAUAAGAGAAAUCAAAGUAGAAGAUGACCCUUCAGAACUACACCCGUGCCCUUUUGGACAAGAGAGACUGGGAUCCAUGUCAAGAUGACCAAAUGGUUGACCUAUUUAGUUUUAGUUCAUUUUCAAGCUGGAAUUAUGUACGCUUCCAAUUAUGGUGAGCUUGGCCAACCAUUUCGUUCAAAUAUGUUUCCUUUGAGUGGGACUGGGUUUUUGGGUAAUGUUGGUCAUAGCAUAAACUUGGCUUGAAAGGGCUUGAAAUCCUUUGACAUGGACUGAGAAAGUAAGUUCAGUGGCCUUAUUUGCAGGAUAACAUCAUCGUUCAAUAUGUCUCAGAACAGUCUUAAGGUUGAUCACUAACACGGUUUCCUUGUCAUUGAGAUAAUGCACAAUUUGUUUCUUGUUAAAGUCUAGUAUAUUGGAUAUUAAAGAUUUCUGGCCUAUCAAUUCAGUGGGCAGUGUGUAUAAGUUGUUAUCUAAGGUUUUGGCUAAAAGAUUGAGGAUGGUGUUGGACAAACUCAAUUUUGAGUCGCAAAAUUCUUUUGUAGGUGGUAGAUAGAUUUUGGAUUUAGUGCUUAUUGCUAAAGAAUGUCUUGAUAGGACACUGAAAUAUUGUACUUCAAGAGUGGUUUGUAAGUUAGACAUUGAAAAAGCCUAUGAUCAUGUGAAUUUGGGCACUUUGUUCUAUCUGUUGGAGAGGAUGAGUUUUGGGGUUUGAUGGAGAGGAUGCUUAAAGGCAUGUGUCACGACUGUCCGUUUCUCAGUUUUUGUUAAUGGAUCUCUUAUUGGUUUCUUUGGUAGCUCAUGAGGUCCAAGACAAGGUGAUUCGUUGUCUCCUCUUCUCUUCCUUUUGAUAAUGGAGUUUUUAAGUUAGAUUCAGAAUAAAAUUAAGGAAGGUGGUAUUCUUCAGGGUUUUCAUGUGGGAACUGUUAAUACUACUGGCAUUCGUAUUUCCCAUCUUCUUUUUGCUGAUGAUACUAAUUUUUUUUGGUGAUGCUUCUAGGGAGUAGUUGCUCUCUAUUGGGUUGGCUUUGACUAGUUUUCAAGUUUUUACCGGUUUGAAGGUGAAUGUGGGGAAAAGUGAGAUUGUCCUUGUUGGAGAGGUGAGUAACAUUUAAACUUUGGUCAACAUUCUUCAAUGCAGGGUGGGCAAUUUGCCUAUGAAUUAUUUGGGAAUGUCAUUGGGUACUUCGUAUAAGACAAUCUCUAUUUGGAACCCUAUUUUGGAGAGGAUGGAGAAGAAGUUUUCAGGCUGGAAGCAUCUUUAUUUGUCAAAGGGUGGCAGACUCACUUUGUUGAAAAGUAACCUUUUAAGUCUUCCGACUUAUUAUCUUUCUCUUUUUUUACUAUUCCUAAGGCCGUGGCUAUUAGAUUAGAACGUAUUCAAAGGAACUUCUUGUGGGGUUCUUCAGAGGAGUGUUUGAAAUACCCCUUGGUGGCCUGGGAAAAGGUCUACUUAUCGCUUGAGCUAGGUGGUUUAGGAAUUUGGAAGUUGGUGUCUUGUAAUUAGGCUUUAUUAGGAAAAUAGCUUUGGAGGUACAGCCAUGAAACCACCCAUCUGUGGUGGAGGGUCAUUGCCAUGAAAUAUGGGAAGGGGAAAGGGGGGGGCGGGGGUGGAGCACUAGAGUUUGUAGAAUGGAUCAUGGGUGUGGUUUAUGGUGAAGCAUUAGUGAAGGUUGGGAGAACUUUUCUAAGCACCUGUCUUUUGUGGUGGGUGAUUGUUCACAUAUUCUCUUUUGGCAUGAUAAGUGGAUUCGGGAUAAUUCUCUUAUAACUCUUUAUUCUCAGUUAUUUGUGUGUUUAGCCAAUAAGGAAGCUUGUAGUUAUGAUGUUUUGAGUCCUCCAGUUGGUGGAAACGACAGAGUUUCGAAUUUAAGAUUCAAUGACUGGGAGUUAGUGGCUUCUUUCUCAUUUCUUCACUUGAUCCAAUCUUGGAUUCCUAGGGGUGGUGGUUGUGACAGUCUUUGUUGGAGCCUCGAUGGAAGUGGGAAGUUUGACACUUAUCUUUUUAUCAUAAGAUUCAAGAUGUUACUCUUUCUAUUUUCCCUUAGAAGGGCUUUUGGAAAGUAAAGGUUCUUAAAAUGGUGGCUUUCUUUAUGUGAACAGCAGUUCAUGGCUAGAUUCUUACUUUGGAUAAUUUUAUGCUUCGUCCUCGCUUUUUGGUGAAUCGUUGUUGUAUGUGCUAUUGUAAUGAGGAAUUUGUGGAUCACUUGCUGAUUUUUAGCCCGUUAGCUCAUUCUUUGUGGAUGUAUCUGUUCUAGCUGUUUGGGAUUGAUUGGGUCAUGCCAGGUUCUGCUGUAGACUUAUUAUUUUGUUGGCAUCCUUAGAUGGGGAAACAUAAUUUUGACAUUUGGAAUUUGGUUCGAGGUUGUUUGAUGUGAACUAUUUGGAUUGAACGUAAUUGGUAUUCUUUUGAGGAUACUAAGAAAUCUCUGGCUCAGUUGUAAGAUUUGUGCUAACAGACGCUCUUUGAUUGGUCUCGGUGUUGGGAUCUCUUGGAUUGUUCUACUCUUAUUGAUUUUCUUUUGUCUCUUAGAGUAGUUUAAUGUUUCUGUUUGUUCUUUGCUCACUAUCGUGAACUAUGUGUAUCGGGGGCGGGGGCGGGGGCGGGGACUUUCCCGGAAUAUAUUGGUAUGAUUUUUGAUAAUAACCUCCUCAAUAAUGCUAUCACACACUUUUAUACAUCUUUUUGCCACAAUUAUCUUACAUGGUAGAUUGUGAGUUGUGGAGAAAAAAUGGUAGACCUAUGUGAUAGUCACAGUGAUAGAUAGCUAAUCACAGUCUAUUGCAUAGGAUAGUUGUAGCAAAGAAUGUGGUGCUAACAUUAUUGUAACCUCCUCGCUAUUAGUGUUCCCAAGCCUAUAAUGAAGUUUGUUUUGGUGGAAAUAAUUUGAAGUUUGAAAAUGUUAUGAAGUGAUUCUAUAUCCCGAGUAGGCUGCAGAAAUCCUUCCAACUGGUUGUUAUCAAAUGGCUUCCCGUUGUCAGUUACUAUCACUCUUGGUAGUCCAAACUUGAAUAUAUUGCCUAUACAUAGGGGGUCUAUAUUGUCAACUCAGAAGGAGGGAUAUUUCGCUGAAAAUUUGGAGAGUCCAUCACCUCAAAAAAAUAUGUAAAAGAGAACAACAAUCAGAAAGAAAACCCAUCAUUUUCCUCAUCAAGAUACCCUCCUUCCAUGGAAAGAUCACCUUCAAUCCCUUGAUCAAUCUUGUGCAAACGAGCCCAAAGACCUUCAAAAUCACACUCAAUCAUGCAUUUUCUGCAUAAUAUUCAAUAGUCCAGAUGCUGCCUUUACACCAUCUAAAUCACUCAGACCAAUGCAAUUUCAUUCACUUUGAAUCAGAACUUCAAUUCCCUGGUUUUGCUUGGCAAAUAAAGAUGAAUAGUCACCUUGUUGUCUUCAUCAACAACAGCCAUAAAGGCAUCAACAAUACGUUUCCUCAUUCCACCAUAGGGAGAAGACUCAUGGAUCAUCCAAUAGAAGUGGGGAUCUAGAUCUCUCAUUAAGAAUAGAAAUCCUAAAGAAGUUCCACUGCAAAUAAGCUUCUUAUUAGAAGUAAAAUAGACAUGUAGUUUUCUAAUCAAUUCUUAUUUGAUUAAAAUUGUGAUAUGAAUAAGAAUGAUUUCCAUUUGAUGUCAUGAAAUUGAAUUGCAUAUCAUGAUCAGUUAUUGCAUCAAAUAAGGAACUGAUGAACGUGUAGAUGAUUUCUUGAGAGUAUGGUCACGUGUUAAAAUUUGUCAUCAUCUUGCCAUACAUGAGUAGAUAUGAUCUUAAGAGGGUAUUCCAUGAGUUUGUUUUCAUGGAAAAUGAGUUUAGUAAAGAUUCAUGUAAAGAAAAUUAUGAUAAUCUAUCAGCAUGAAUUGGAUCUACAUUUUAUGUUUGAUUUUUCCAUGCAGUUUUAUUCUGUCAUUGGUCAUGUGAACUAGCAUUUGUUUUCAGGGAUUCAAGUUCUAUUUUUUAAUGUAAUCUCACAUGUUAUUUCUUGAUUUUUGUUUAAUGUAACAUCUAUGGAUGAAAUCAUUUGACUUGGAGGGAUUGUUAACUUAGAUAGACCUUCUCAUUUUGUGACACAACCUUCAAGCCUAGAUCAAAGGAUUUAGAUGAGUUCACUUCCAAUGUAAUUUUGCAUUUACUUAGUUUGUAAUAAGGAAUCAAAGCAAUGCAAUUUUUUCUUUAGUUUGUUACUAGAUAAAAGCCGUGUAAUUUUCUUCUUCCAUCUCUUUGUUAAGAUAAUGUAAUUUUGAAUUAGUUAAUAAAAUACAUAUUUUAUUGGGUUU